ACCAAAACUUGUUUUCCUUAAACUUGAGCGGCGCGUAAGCUAGCUCAGAAAAAAAGCUUGUUUUUGCGCGCCGCUCAGAAAAAAAACUUGUUUUUCCUUUGAAAGGAUACGAUAGCAGAGAAUGUCGGCUCUUGUUUCAAGUUGGUCCAGGACCGUUCAUUCCGUGCCAGAAGACUAUGUGUUCCCAGAGAACAAAAGGCCCGGACGUGACAUUGCAGCACCCGUUUGCAAGGAUAUUCCAGUCAUUGAUCUAUCACAGAUGGAUGGCCUUGAUCGCGUUGAAAAAAUUCAGCAAAUCAUGAAAGCUAACCGCGAUUUAGGAAUCUUCCAGGUGAUCAAUCAUGGAGUAUCUGAAGAGCUAUUGGAUGAAACAAUGAAUCUGUUCAAGGAGUUCUUCAGCAUGCCUGCAGAAGACAAGGCCAUGCAUUAUUCUGAGGAUGGAACUAAGGGUUUUAGGCUCUACACAAGCAGUUUGUCUUACAUAGAUGAUGGGGUUAACACCUGGAAGGUUCUGUGAAACACACUUGUCAGCCUUUGGAGGAUAACAUCCAAUCUUGGCCUGAAAAGCCAGCUGGAUAUCAGGAGGUGGUUGGGGCCUACACAGGGGAACUGAGGAAAUUAAGCUCGAGGAUUUUGGAUCUGAUUUGUGAAGGACUGGGGAUUGGAGUGGGGUACUUUGAGGAUGAGCUGAGCAAGCUUCAGGAACUAGUGGUCCACCAUUACCCACCAUGUCCAGACCCAAGUUUGGUUUUGGGAGUUGGUGGGCACAGUGACCCACACCUCUUAACCUUGCUUCAGUAGGAGGAUAUCUGUGGGCUCCAGAUUUACAAGGAUGGGCAGUGGCUUGGGGUUGAACCAAUUCCUCAUGCUUUUGUUAUCAUGAUUUCUGACCAACUUGAGAUUAACAGCAAUGGGAAGCUAAAAAGUGCUCAACACCGAGCAGUGACGAAUACCAGCUCUGCCCGGACAUCCUUAGUCACUUUUAUUAGUCCAUCUCUAGAAUCCAUCAUAGAAUCUGAAAAGGCACUUGUUAGUGCAUCCGAACCCCCAGUCUUCAAGUCCAUGCAGUUCAAGGAGUACCUUGAUAUUCACACGGCCAAUCACCCGUGGUAAGCCGGCAUGGCCUCAUAUCCAAAGUAAAACAUGAGUACGGUGGAAGGACUCAUUCGAUGUCAUGUCAAGACUGCUUCAAUACCAAUGAUCGAUGUUAUAGGCUUGUAUUAAAUAUGGCAAUGAGGUGUGAUAGACUUUCAUAAAAUAUCAUUGCCGAAUCUCAAAUAGUUAUGUAAAAUACCUGCUUGAACUUCGUCUGUGUAAUCCAAUCUUGUUUGAAUGAAAUUUUCAUCAAGUUUUCUUGGCGGCCA
Rhododendron vialii is the source of this 1364-nucleotide RNA transcript. It is a transcript of the gene named 2'-deoxymugineic-acid 2'-dioxygenase-like, with no coding region annotated. Lineage: Eukaryota; Viridiplantae; Streptophyta; Magnoliopsida; Ericales; Ericaceae. The transcript has 4 exons. The record is from RefSeq and is a predicted model, not a curated record.